This 674-nucleotide ribosomal RNA is filed under the name uncultured Bacilli bacterium. RNAcentral describes it as "bacterial SSU rRNA". It matches the Rfam family "Bacterial small subunit ribosomal RNA", at positions 58 to 717 of the family's 1533-position model. The record is from RNAcentral. Lineage: Bacteria; Bacillati; Bacillota; Bacilli.
CAAGUAGAACGCUGAAGGAGGAGCUUGCUCUUCUGGAUGAGUUGCGAACGGGUGAGUAACGCGUAGGUAACCUGCCUGGUAGCGGGAGAUAACUAUUGGAAACGAUAGCUAAUACCGCAUAAUAGUAGAUGUUGCAUGACAUUUGCUUAAAAGGUGCAAUUGCAUCACUACCAGAUGGACCUGCGUUGUAUUAGCUAGUUGGUGGGGUAACGGCUCACCAAGGCGACGAUACAUAGCCGACCUGAGAGGGUGAUCGGCCACACUGGGACUGAGACACGGCCCAGACUCCUACGGGAGGCAGCAGUAGGGAAUCUUCGGCAAUGGACGGAAGUCUGACCGAGCAACGCCGCGUGAGUGAAGAAGGUUUUCGGAUCGUAAAGCUCUGUUGUAAGAGAAGAACGAGUGUGAGAGUGGAAAGUUCACACUGUGACGGUAUCUUACCAGAAAGGGACGGCUAACUACGUGCCAGCAGCCGCGGUAAUACGUAGGUCCCGAGCGUUGUCCGGAUUUAUUGGGCGUAAAGCGAGCGCAGGCGGUUAGAUAAGUCUGAAGUUAAAGGCUGUGGCUUAACCAUAGUACGCUUUGGAAACUGCUUAACUUGAGUGCAAGAGGGGAGAGUGGAAUUCCAUGUGUAGCGGUGAAAUGCGUAGAUAUAUGGAGGAACACCGGUGGCG